Molecule: ribosomal RNA, 557 nt
Filed under: uncultured bacterium
Lineage: Bacteria
Description: partial 16S ribosomal RNA
Rfam family: Bacterial small subunit ribosomal RNA
Source: RNAcentral
UGGGGAAUAUUGCACAAUGGGCGCAAGCCUGAUGCAGCCAUGCCGCGUGUGUGAAGAAGGCCUUCGGGUUGUAAAGCACUUUCAGCGAGGAGGAAGGUGGUGGACUUAAUACGUUCAUCAAUUGACGUUACUCGCAGAAGAAGCACCGGCUAACUCCGUGCCAGCAGCCGCGGUAAUACGGAGGGUGCAAGCGUUAAUCGGAAUUACUGGGCGUAAAGCGCACGCAGGCGGUUUGUUAAGUCAGAUGUGAAAUCCCCGGGCUCAACCUGGGAACUGCAUUUGAAACUGGCAAGCUAGAGUCUCGUAGAGGGGGGUAGAAUUCCAGGUGUAGCGGUGAAAUGCGUAGAGAUCUGGAGGAAUACCGGUGGCGAAGGCGGCCCCCUGGACGAAGACUGACGCUCAGGUGCGAAAAGCGUGGGGAGCAAAACAGGAUUAGAUACCCUGGUAGUCCACGCUGUAAAACGAUGUCGAUUUGGAGGUUGUGCCCUUGAGGCGUGGCUUCCGGAGCUAACGCGUUAAAUCGACCGCCUGGGGAGUACGGCCGCAAGGUUAAAACU